AAACAUUAUUUUUGUAUGAAUAUUUUUAAUAUAUAUAUAUAUAUAUAUAUAUAGACUCUGCGUCAGCAGCAGAAGUCUCUCUAUAUCUGCCAAAUUUACAAGGAACCACUUCCAUGUCCCUCUAAAAUAUUAUUUUGGGAUGCCACUUUAUUCCCCACCAAGUAUACCGAUCUCCGUGGCAACCCUGCGUAUUACACCGAAUUGAGUGGUCCCGUGAAGCAUUUCUUGAACUAUACACGCCCACUUGGACGAGAGGUGGAACCUUUGGGGUGUAGUCGAGUUUGCAUCAAAGGCGUGCAGCUGUUGGUAUUUCUAG
RNAcentral lists this long non-coding RNA (316 nucleotides) under Phoenix dactylifera (date palm). RNAcentral's name for it is "long non-coding RNA (PDAC_LNC020686)". Lineage: Eukaryota; Viridiplantae; Streptophyta; Magnoliopsida; Arecales; Arecaceae. The record is from RNAcentral.